UUUCCGUAGGUGAACCUGCGGAAGGAUCAUUCAUAAUAAAGUGUUUUAUGGCACUUUUUAAAAAUCCAUAUCCACCUUGUGUGCAAUGUUAGAUCUCGUCAAUCUUGGCGAGAUUUUUAUACAUCAACUCAUUCUUUAACUAAUUUGUCUGAAAAAUAUUAUGAAUACUUAAUUCAAAAUACAACUUUCAACAACGGAUCUCUUGGCUCCC
Molecule: unclassified non-coding RNA, 211 nt
Filed under: plant metagenome
Description: partial contains small subunit ribosomal RNA, internal transcribed spacer 1, and 5.8S ribosomal RNA
Source: RNAcentral